Molecule: long non-coding RNA, 1048 nt
Organism: Erigeron canadensis
Lineage: Eukaryota; Viridiplantae; Streptophyta; Magnoliopsida; Asterales; Asteraceae
Exons: 6
Source: RefSeq, a predicted model, not a curated record
UGGUAGACCCGUAUUGGCCGGUUGGGACCAAGAAUCACUUUUAGCGGCGUCUUUUCCUGACGAUAACUUUUCCCCUGGCCUACUACUCAAAGAAAACGCCGAGAUCAGAGAACCAGUCCGGAUGUUUUGAAUCUUGAAGACCAAUCUUCGAAAAAAGAAAUUUUAGAAGAGAAGAAUGAUGUGGAUGUUAAUGGCAAGAAAGUUGAGAAAUCAAAUGGGUCGAAUUCGAGAAACGCUGUGAUUCCUUGCAUUGAUCAGCUUCGAGUCUUGUGCAAUUUGUUUAGAGAUAUGUUUUGAACCGAGCACCACUUCUUGUGGGCAUAACUUUUGUAAGAACUGUUUGAGAUUUGCCGCGGAUAAAUGUGGGAACCGUUGCCCAAAGUGCAGGCAACUUAUCAGCAAUGGAAGAUCUUGCACCAUUAAUACAGGUUUAUGGAACACGAUACAACUUUUGUUUCCACAAGAAAUAGAGGCAAGAAAAGCAUUGGGUCGAGGUUCAAACAUCUUAGAAUCCGGCGACAUUCAACGCCCGCCACCAAGGAGUAGAAACCAAUUCAGUAUUGAAGCGUUUUAUAGUCCUCAAGCAGAACAGUUAAGUAUGGAAAGGAGGCAAAGGACUAGUAAUCAUUUAAUAGGUCCGAGACAGAGGAGUUCACGUCCUGCUUCUGUUGUGAUACUAAACAACAAAGAAGCGGGGGGUAGUAGUAGUGCGGGCUUGAGGAGACUGCGGUCUGUUGCAACGGCUUCAGAGGGCAAUGGCAUCAAGAGCUAUUAGUAUUGCUAACAUGUGUGGCCGUUAAAUGUUGUGGUUAACAUAGGAAACAACAUUAGUCUCCGAGGAAAGGUUUCACUAAAUCAAAUUAGUUGCAAUUAAUUUGAUUUACUAAAACCUUUCUUGUUGUACAUUUAAUUUAAAUUUUAGCUCAUUUAUUUACUAAAACCUUUCUUGUCGCACUUGUUAGCACUACUCUCAGUCUCACACAGUAAGAAUUGUGUUAACUGCAUACUCUAGUAACCAUGUCAAAACAUCUGUAGUUAGACUCUGGUA